Molecule: long non-coding RNA, 797 nt
Organism: Anneissia japonica
Lineage: Eukaryota; Metazoa; Echinodermata; Crinoidea; Comatulida; Comatulidae
Exons: 3
Source: RefSeq, a predicted model, not a curated record
AAAAGACUGGCAUUAAAUUAUAUUUACUUUUUUUAUUUUUAUAGAUGAAGAUAUCUCGACAAGUGGUACAGUGACGUUAAUAUUAGAUGGCGGUACAACGUUAAUAUUGAAUGGCACUAACAAUACUGAAACGCUUCAGGAUGGACGUAAUGAAGUCUUAAAAUACGCCAUUGGAGGUGGUGCUGGUGGAGUCGUGUGUUUGGUAUUUGUUGUUGGUUUCUUCCUAUUCCAUUUCAUGAAGAAACAUCAACAGGAGAUAGAGAUAGAGACCACGUUUGGCACUGGUGAAUCGGAAAUACCCUCAGCUGGUGGCAUUGAUAACUUGCAGCCAAUAGACACUAACGUGGCACUUCAGGGUUUUAAAGAAAAAUCCGAAGAGUAAAACAAACAAAAAUAACAUUUUGUUAAUUUAAUUAUUUUACACGAUAAUAAAACUUUAUGGUUUAUGUAUGUCAUGAAAUUAGUGUAGAAUAUGUUUCUUGGUACAGAGAUUACUAAUACAUGAACGUUUUUUAUCUUAUUCUUGUAAAAGACACUGCCAAACUACUGCUAAUACUGAGUGGCGUAACGAUGGGGCCGGGGGCCCUGCGUAUUUCUGAAACUGGUGGCCCUUUUUAUGUCCGGUCACCAAUUCCAUCGUGGGAUUUUAGAUGUGCAUUGUCAUUCUAAAUGUUGUUAACGACAAAUAAAUGAUAUAAUAUGGAUCCAGAAAAUUUAGGCCAGGGAGGGACUUUCACAGUUGGAGAGUCUAUACCACCUCAGACCCACCAUUGUUGGGGGUAAGAAAAUUUAUGAAU